CGGAGAUGCAACAUCGACAAUUUUCCGAGAUGCCUCCCAGAGCUGUAUCUCGCGAAUGCUCACCGCCCAACGAUUCAGUCGUUUGCCGGCUACCGACGCGUGUGGAUUCAAUUCUGUAGAACGUUUCGCGGUAUUGUCAAUCAUAUCCGAGAGCUUCAUAUGUGUGUUAAAGUCAAGGUUCAAUACGGGCUAUUGUUGGAGUUUAGCUAACAACGUGAAACGUCGAAGGAAAAGCGAAGAAAAGUGUGUUUGCUGUUGUUACAAAAGAGUGUUGUGUUGAUCCAAUUCAAGUUCACGAGAAAGAAAAUUCCGUUGGGUCAGCCUGGAGUGGAAAACUCAUUCCAGUGGAAGAUGUGAUUACUGUUAGUCUAAAUCUGACCGGAGUUGGAAGCGGAUUUGAAGAGGAUUGAGGAAUUGGAACGUGCUUUGUUCGGUUCGGUUGCGAUUUGGAAGGAGAAACAUAACUACCAACGUGCGGUUGUUUGAAUGGGAGUGGGGGUUGAUGAGAGAUGUCCUGUCAGUAACAGACAGCAGAAACCGGAGUGAAGGCUGUUGUGUUGUUAGUUCGAAUCUUUGAAUCCAGUGGAGAGCAGA
Molecule: long non-coding RNA, 594 nt
Organism: Aedes aegypti (yellow fever mosquito)
Lineage: Eukaryota; Metazoa; Arthropoda; Insecta; Diptera; Culicidae
Exons: 2
Source: RefSeq, a predicted model, not a curated record